AACACCUACGGGGCGCAGCAGUAGGGAAUCUUCCACAAUGGGCGCAAGCCUGAUGGAGCAACACCGCGUGAGUGAAGAAGGGUUUCGGCUCGCAAAGCUCUGUUGUUGGAGAAGAACGUGCGUGAGAGUAACUGUUCACGCAGUGACGGUAUCCAACCAGAAAGUCACGGCUAACUACGUACCAGCAGCCGCGGUAAUACGUAGGUGGCAAGCGUUAUCCGGAUUUAUUGGGCGUAAAGCGAGCGCAGGCGGUUGCUUAGGUCUGAUGUGAAAGCCUUCGGCUUAACCG
This 289-nucleotide ribosomal RNA is filed under the name uncultured bacterium. Its description in RNAcentral is "partial 16S ribosomal RNA". It matches the Rfam family "Bacterial small subunit ribosomal RNA", at positions 334 to 615 of the family's 1533-position model. The record is from RNAcentral.